UCUAAUAUGGCAGAUUAGUGCGAUGGAUUUAAGCUUCAUAUAUAAGGAUUCUCCUUUAUUAGAA
This 64-nucleotide transfer RNA is filed under the name Plegadiphilus threskiornis. Its description in RNAcentral is "tRNA-Leu". Lineage: Eukaryota; Metazoa; Arthropoda; Insecta; Psocodea; Menoponidae. The record is from RNAcentral.